Molecule: non-coding RNA, 85 nt
Organism: Felis catus (domestic cat)
Lineage: Eukaryota; Metazoa; Chordata; Mammalia; Carnivora; Felidae
Source: Rfam
GCCCAGGUGGCUCAGUCAGUUGAGCGUCGGACUUCGGCUCAGCUCAUGAUCUCAUGGUUUGUGGGUUCAAGCCCCACAUCGGGCU